This 433-nucleotide ribosomal RNA is filed under the name uncultured bacterium. Its description in RNAcentral is "partial 16S ribosomal RNA". It matches the Rfam family "Bacterial small subunit ribosomal RNA", at positions 29 to 507 of the family's 1533-position model. The record is from RNAcentral.
AACGAACGCUGGCGGCAUGCCUAACACAUGCAAGUCGAACGAGACCUUCGGGUAUAGUGGCGCACGGGUGCGUAACGCGUGGGAACCUGCCCUUAGGUUCGGAAUAACUCCCCGAAAGGGGCGCUAAUACCGGAUAAUGUCUUCGGACCAAAGAUUUAUCGCCUGUGGAUGGGCCCGCGUUAGAUUAGCUAGUUGGUAGGGUAAAAGCCUACCAAGGCAACGAUCCAUAGCUGGUUUGAGAGGAUGAUCAGCCACACUGGGACUGAGACACGGCCCAGACUCCUACGGGAGGCAGCAGUGGGGAAUAUUGGACCAUGGGCGAAGGCCUGAUCCAGCGAUGCCGCGUGAGUGAUGAAGGCAUUAGGGUUGUAAAGCUCUUUUAACAGGGAUGAUAAUGACAGUACCGGGAGAAUAAGCGCCGGCUAACUCCGUG